AUGCCGCCGGACUCUUACGAGGGUGGCCUCGGCCUCAUGCCGUCCCUCUUUAGUGGGUUCGCCUUGCGCACCAACCAGUUCAUCGCCGUGGAGUUCGACACAUUCCAAGACGCCUUGGACCCCAAUCCGAACUCCACUGACGAUCACAUCGGCAUCGACAUCAACUCCGUGAGCUCGGAGAAUUGGACAAGCUUGGGCAGCAUCGGCCUCAGACUCAGAGGCUACAUGACGGCCACCAUCUCCUUUAACAGCACCACCCAGAUGCUGGUCGCCAACCUGCAGUUUGAUGACCAUAAUAAUUCUGUCCCCGUUCAGGUCAGCAGGCAGUUACCCUUUCCGAUCAACACCUUGCUCCCAGCUCAAGUGGCAGUGGGGUUUUCUGCGGCCAGGGGCGGAUCUGGGCCCCAGGCCCCCAGGGCCCAGGCCCGGGGCGUGGCAUUUUUUUUUAGUUAUUACCUAUGUAUGUUUUUGAAUGGGCCCGGGGCUUGGCCCAGUACACAUCCAGGGCCCAGGCCAGGCAGUCCCCGUACCGCAGCCUCGCAUCGCACGGGCGCAUCAGCCACCGCUCGCCCAUGCCCGCUUCGUUCCCCAGAGCACAGACCUAGAUCGACUGGACGCAGAGGCCAGAGGACGCAGGCAGCCGCCGCCGCCGCCGCUGGUGACUUCCCUCCGCUCCGCCCUCCCCUGCUCUGCUCGCCUACUCCGCCGCGGCGCUGCUCCCCACCUGCUCGCCCGCUCCGCCUCCGCGGUGCUCGCCUGCUCCGCCGCCCUCCUACGCCCUCCGCCGCCAACCUGGGCUGGUCCCCUGCUGCUCCGGCCUCCGGUGCUCGCCGGCUCGCCGCCUCGACCUCUCCUGCCUCCAGGCGGCCACGCGGCCCCGCCGUAUUCCCUCAAUCCCUCUCAGGACUGCUGCCUCUGCUGACUGCUGCCCAGAAUUGGUAA
This 942-nucleotide ribosomal RNA is filed under the name Triticum aestivum (bread wheat). Its description in RNAcentral is "partial small subunit ribosomal RNA". Lineage: Eukaryota; Viridiplantae; Streptophyta; Magnoliopsida; Poales; Poaceae. The record is from RNAcentral.